CAGCAGCCACGGUAAUACAGAGGGUGCGAGCGUUAAUCGGAUUUACUGGGCGUAAAGCGUGCGUAGGCGGCUUUUUAAGUCGGAUGUGAAAUCCCUGAGCUUAACUUAGGAAUUGCAUUCGAUACUGGGAAGCUAGAGUAUGGGAGAGGAUGGUAGAAUUCCAGGUGUAGCGGUGAAAUGCGUAGAGAUCUGGAGGAAUACCGAUGGCGAAGGCAGCCAUCUGGCCUAAUACAGACGCUGAGGUACGAAAGCAUGGGGAGCAAACAGGAUUAGAUACCCGUGUAGUCCCUGUCUCUUAUAC
Molecule: ribosomal RNA, 301 nt
Filed under: uncultured bacterium
Lineage: Bacteria
Description: partial 16S ribosomal RNA
Rfam family: Bacterial small subunit ribosomal RNA
Source: RNAcentral